UUCUUCUUCUAUCCCUCACCCAGAGCGUAAACUCUUUCGCCCCAAACGUCAAGUUUAAGUGUAAAAUCUUCCGCCACAAACGGCAAGUUUAAGCUUGCGAUGUUUCCAACAAAUCUGAUGAGGCGGUUAUUCUGAAGAAGGAUUUAUCAAGUGGCUAAUUGCAGUAAAUUAGCUGAUCAUAUAAAGAGUUUUAUGGAUCUACAAGGAUAUCAAACUUUGAUGGUGAAGCAGUGAUGAGAUGAACAGAGCUUGCGGCAAAAGGCUGUUGUCGGUGAGCAUUGGAGAAACGCAUAACAUGCGGACACACACGUGUCCUAAAAUUGGAUUUUUAUUGUGUAGAAUAUUCUACAAUAUUUUUUCUUUAUUAUGAUAAUAUGUAAAAUUCCAGCUUGUUGGGCU
Camelina sativa (false flax) is the source of this 399-nucleotide non-coding RNA. NCBI's taxonomy places the organism in Eukaryota, Viridiplantae, Streptophyta, Magnoliopsida, Brassicales, Brassicaceae. The record is from RefSeq and is a predicted model, not a curated record.